CAGCCGCCGCGGUAAUACGGAGGGUGCAAGCGUUAAUCGGAAUUACUGGGCGUAAAGCGCACGCAGGCGGUUUGUUAAGUCAGAUGUGAAAUCCCCGGGCUCAACCUGGGAACUGCAUCUGAUACUGGCAAGCUUGAGUCUCGUAGAGGGGGGUAGAAUUCCAGGUGUAGCGGUGAAAUGCGUAGAGAUCUGGAGGAAUACCGGUGGCGAAGGCGGCCCCCUGGACGAAGACUGACGCUCAGGUGCGAAAGCGUGGGGAGCAAACAGGAUUAGAUACCCGUGUAGUCCCUGUCUCUUAUAC
Molecule: ribosomal RNA, 301 nt
Filed under: uncultured bacterium
Lineage: Bacteria
Description: partial 16S ribosomal RNA
Rfam family: Bacterial small subunit ribosomal RNA
Source: RNAcentral